GACUCUGAGUGUCUCCAGGGACAAGGAUCCACCACCUCUCCAGGUAAUACAGCAGUGAAAAGCUGGAUAUUUAUGAUUCCUUGGUUAUGUUCUCUAGGCUUUGGGAAUGGUCUGCAGUAUGGUUUUCCAACAGAAAUUGCAUGCAACCACAGGACAUGCCAAUAAUUCCAUUCUUCAGAUGUACAAAAGAGACUUUUCAAGAAAAACAGUUUUGCAAGCACAAGUCACUGUGGGUCUCUUGGCAACUGAUGCACUGUGGGAUUUGGAAAAUCUCAUCAAGAUCAUGCCAAAGCUGAUCUGGAAAUAUCUGUCCUCCUUUAUUUGGGAGUAAACUGUAACCAGCCAAGUUCAGCUACCUUUUCUUGCAUACCCUGAUUGAGUUUGGUCCUCUCUCCUGUCAUCCAGAGUACCCACCAUACAGAAGGACCUGUGAUUUGCAGUGGGAUCUGAGGUGAACUGUCACUAAAGGAGUGAUAGACAAAGAGGCGUUGAUGUGGAAGACAAAACUUUCUUCUGUGAUUGGACUUCUAGGCAUCACAAAGUUUAAUAGAACAACUUCUAGAACAGUCGUGUUGCAAACUUGGUGCCCCUCAUGGGAGGAGGUUGAGAGGGUGAGACAGAUGGUUGCCACGUAACAGACCAAGAUUUUCAAGAGGUUCUGGGAGUCAUAAAAAAACAGCGUUAAGACCCAUGAUGACCAAAACAUUUCAAAGUGAUUACUGGAUACUGCAAAGGAAGUAGUGGAGUCUAACAUAAUGAAAACAGGAAUAAAAAAAAAAAGAGAGAAAACUUCAGCUGAAGACCAAGUAAAAGUAAAGAUGGAUAGGUGCAUAAAAUGACAAGACAGCAUGAAAAGCAAGCACUGACAAUGAGGGUACCUUGGCAUGUGGUCUUGGAUAGCACAUCCUGUGCAGAAGGGGCAGCAUGGAAGGUGACACUGAGGCACCUGUGUGGUUUUGAAGAAGGAGGCAGGAGAUACGGACAGAUUGGAAUGCACGUGGCCAGUAUGAUGUUCAUAAGAAAAGUAAGUCUCCAGAAAAUAUUUAAGAUGGUUCAGCAAGGUAAGUGGAAUUUAGAAUAAUGUUCCAAGCCUGCUGGGACAUUAGAGCAUUUGUAACUGUUUGUAGAAAUUGUCCAUAAAGCCCAAAACAUAAACAAAGAGAUGCCUGAGGAAGAGUGAGGACAGGUCAAAUAUAUGUGCUACUUCCACUCUAGUCUUUUUCAGGCUCUGACUAUAUUCUCAGAGACGUCCCUGAACAUGCCUGUGCCUAACCUGCUUUAUAAUCUGUGGUGCAUUUCUACACACACUUGUUUGCUUUUAAAUCUCUACAACUUUCUUACUGUCACAGUUUCCUUUGGCACUGGGUUCCAUAGGUCUGAUCUAUUCACUGCAUUGAGAACCAUACAUUACAUUUAUUUUGUAUCAGUUUCCUAUUUUUUUUUUUUUUUGGUGACUAUCAAACAAAAAUGAAUUAAAAAAAUUAAAUAUUAAAAGAAAAUGUUUCCACAGAACUGUGUGCUUCAGUCUGUCUCCUGAGAGGUAAUGGCCAGUUCAGAGUUCAUCCUUCUAUCUGUGGUUGUAUUCUUAUGUGCCUGCUGUCAGACACUUCUUUCCAAAAGUCAACAUAAAAAAAGAUUCCUAUCAAUUUUGUAGGAGUCACACCUCCUCAGGCUGUGGUCAUCAUAGAUCUGCAGGUAGUGCAGACAUAUUCUUGUUAGACAUGGGAGGUUUCAAGUUCACAAAGAGUUCAGUGAAUUGAUGCUCUUGGAUUCUGACACAAAGCUGAAGGGACCAUCUUGUAGCCCACCAUCAGACUGCUGUGCUCUGGUAAGUUUUUGUCAGAGUCUUUCCUCUCACUUCAUCCUGACUUGGAGAUCUGUCAUUUCAAGGUGUGGUUUUUAUGGUGUUACUCAACUUCCAGUGUGCUCCUUCAUUCAAAAGCAGCAGGAUCUUCUUUUUUGCUCUCAGCCUGGCUUUCUGAUUCCAAACCAAAACAAACACAAGUUUGAAGAAUUGCAGCACUUGCUUCUGUGAUAUUUGAAAUAUAACUGCAGAUUGUUCACAGCUCUGUCCUCUGGGGGUAAAUGCUACAGAUGUUUGAGGGGUAUUCCUGGUUCAAUUUGAUGUCCUUUGUCUAAUGCAGUUUUUAAGUGAUUCUGCAAUUUCUUGAUCACUAAUAAUCAGUCUUUGCAAUGUGGGAUUCUUUACUGUUGUAUUCUCGAUCUUGACUAGGAGUAGAGAGGCAAUAGCUCCUUGUAAUCAACCAGAAUUCGUAAUACAGAGUUUGUUGUACUUUUGCUUUCAUGUCCUUCCACCUUUAUGUCAGGUCUGGGGGGGACAGACAAUGAGACUCAGUAAAAAUCCUAAUACAAGAUUAAUAAAUUUGAAUCAGCAGAAAGAUUGCUCUUGAUUAAGCGGUAGAGGCCCUGGAGACGGAUCUUUUGCAGAAAGAGGCAGUUUCCUAGAUACAUAGAGCUGUGGUUGCCCCAUGAUAAUUAAAUAUAAAAGUAGCAUAUAUAUUCUGUAAAUCUCAUGGCUUCUUCUACAUUAUGAGGUUGCUAGUGAAGCUUCAUGUUGAGUAAGUAUGGCAUAUCUGGGCCAGAUCCUGUAUCUUCUCUCAGUGGGAGUAGUGGCCGUAUAAGAGAGAAUACAAGACAUAGUUCCUGAGUCAAAGGUACUGUCUUUGAGCUUAAAAGUAAGCAAUAUGGAGUGCAGGUGUGGCAGCAAGCACUUUGUUCAUCCUGCCUCAUCUGGUGUGUGCACUGCAGGCAGGAUCUGUUUAUAGCCCAUCUUCAAAGUGCUACACUGAUAGCAUUGUGUGUAUGGCCAAGGACUAUAAUGUUGCAGACCACUGUACUUAAUAUGAUUCAUCUGGACAAAAGGUGAAACUCUGACCCAAAUAAGUCAAAUCAGCUUUCUUGUUUCUGAAGAUUGAAUUGUUGUGUCUUCAUCUUGAAUUGCUAAGUAAAUGCUUUAAAAGGCUGUUGUAAAAAUCAUUCUUACCAAAGCAGUUUUAGUUGACUACCCUGCCUUGUUCUAGUUGGUAUUAGAAUAAAACGAGUAAAGGUUUGAUAAGGAUUUCAAGCAGGUAGCCCACGCUAUUCAUUUUACAUGAAUGGUCAUGUCUGUUUAGCUAUUAAUUACCUUGCCCUUUGGUACAGUUGCUAACUAAAGUCUAAUUUAUUCCUGCUUUUAUUAAAAGCAAGUGUACUUAGUGCUGUAAUGAUAAGCAACAGAGUAAAUCCACUGUGGAAGAGAAUUACAGCUGCAGCCGGAGGAGAUCAACAUAACAUAUUUUGGUGGAAGAGAAUGGUAGUUUAAUAAAAUAUGAAACAGGAUUAAUGUUGCAUAUGACCUUAAAAUACUGUAUAACAAAGAGCAGAAUGGCAGUUAUACAUAUAGCAGUAACUGGCUGAUGGUGAGUGCCUGGAAGUUUUAAAAAGAUGAUCAAAACGGUAUAAAAGGCGCUAAAUUCAGAAUGAUUGGGUUCAUAUAAUUUAAUGUGAAUGUUAGCUUCCCAGAGAAGUAAACAAAAAUAAACUCAAUUAUUUCUUCCAUUCUGUAAAAACUUAAGUAAUUUGGUUUUGGGAAGAGAAAUUGAGUAAAGCAAAUUUUACUGUGUUCAACAAGGGUGUUAAAACGGCCGCGGCUGGCUGGCAGUCUCUCAGGCUGACUUUCCGUUCUCAUGCAAACUGGCUCUGUCUCCAUUCCAGACACUGUGCCAGGCACUAGGGGAGUCCAUGUGGCAGGCUGUCCUCUUCUGCUGGGAGCAGUCCAUGACCUCAGCAUAGUAGUGCACAUGCUGAGUAACUCGUACAAACAGCAGAUGAUUUCUUGGUGGUGUGUUCUUGGAGGUGGCUAGCCAAGCGCUAAUGCUGGGGAACACAGUCUGCCUCCAGCAGGUUCUCCCAGCACUCCGAGGGCAAUAAGUUGUAUUUUUCCCAAGACCUCACCAUCUAUAUUUAUAAAUGCUCAUUUAUUUCAUAAUCUCUAGAAAUCUUCUCAUCUGCCUUAGUUCAACUGAGGAGUUAUGUAAAAGAUCCUUUCCUUGUCAUUUUGUAGUAACCUUUUUGUUUAUUAUCUAAUUCACAGCAAAACCAUGCAAAGCAUCCAAAGAGGUAAUACUGAGAUUUGCUUAUAUUCACUGUAAAAAAAAUAAGGUAUUACAUGAAUGGUUUUUGCCUGAACUAUCAUUCACCUUCUGUUAUGCUGAGUUUUAAGAUGUGUGCAUUGGAAUUACACUUCGAUUUUUUGCUAGAAUUUAAGAUACAUUUAUCAUUAGCAGUACCUGGCCUUAUACUAACAUAUAUUCCAUAUUAGCUGCGCUUCAAUUUUGUAAAUGCUUACUCUUUUAUUAGGUGUAUGCAGUAAUCAUAUGCCCAUGGGUAUCAAGGUCUUGUUUUGCUUAAAUCAUAAAUUGUUUUCCUCAAAUGCCAUUUGUUUAUGCUACACUUGCAGUGCAAGCACAACAGUCUGUGAUGCUUGUAAAAAAACAUGUCAAAAACGUAUGCUAAAAUGAGGGAUUUCAGGGCAUUUGGUGGACCUGCUGAGCUGCAUCUAAGUUAGGAGCAUGCAAGCAGUCACCGAGCUCCCAGAACACAUUGGCUUUGACAGGAAGAUCUGCCGGAACUUGCCCAUGAGACACGCAGGAGAUGCUCUCAUCACUUGUAUGCCAUAAUCAGCUCUGGGGGAUGUCCUGAACAUUUUCACCUGUGAUAUCUGAAGGUUACUGCCUGUUGGGCAGAUCAGAACCGAGACCUGACAUCAACUGUUUUCUGCAGGAAGCCAUACGUGGCAACAAGCAGAAGGAGGCAUAAUCCCUGUUGUCUCUCUUGCCAAAGUUGACAUCAGGGAGAGAUAAGGACAUUUGAGGCUCUUCAACAGAAUCUUUGCUUGGAUUUUCUGUUUGCUUGGGGAAACUUCAUUUUCUUCAAACAUAUGUUUGAGUUCAUUCUGCAGUCAGUCAGGGAUCAAGCAGACUGGUAAGAAGCAUGUAGAUGAAGACAUGUAAGUACUUGUAGAGUGAAAAGAAGACUGAGAGAAGAAACAUGAAAGGAAGAAGAAAGACAACUGCCACCCAAAAUGGAGCAACUGGAAAACUGAGAGCUAUGCCUGUGAUUAGAUGCGAUAAUAUACACGUGCGAAUAUGAUGCAGGAGUUAAGUAAAUGAAGAGAAGAAAAAGAGAAUUAAUAUUUAAUAUAUCAGAGAUCAAGAACAUUGUAAAAAAUGGCCUUUACUAUAGAAAUGUUUGCUUGCCGUUGGACUAAAGCUUAUGAGGAAUCCUUUAAAAGAAACACUUCUGCUAUAUCUAAGUGCAGCAAACAUUUUUCAUUAGUUUUGGCAAACAUGCUGCUGGUAACGUCUGACACUUCCAAUCCCAUCAUAAGAGACUAUUAAAUCUGAUCAGAAGAACAGCAUUCAGCUGAAGGUCAUGUAACUGGAUGGAAAAUGUAUGUGGAGCAGCUGAGGUCCCUUGAUUUGUUCUGCCUAGCAAAGAGGAGACUUAGGGGAGACCAGAGCUGCCUAUGUCUUCCUCAUGAAAGGAGUGGAUGGGCAGGCACUGAUCUAUUCUCACAGUGUAGUUCUUCUUGUCCUGUCAGAUAAGGGCAUAUUGACUGACCAUCUAAUUACACUCUCAUUAAUACUGGACUGGUUGGAUGGGGCACUGGUCCACCUGUCUGAGUGUCUGAUUAAGUGUUUGGCAACUCUACCUGUGGCAGGGGGGUUGGAACUAGAUGAUGUUUGAGAUCCCUUUCAGUCCAAGCCAUUCUAUGAUAUGAUUCUAUGACUGUUUUGUGGGGACUUUGAACUAUGUAGUUGUGCAAUCUUUGGAAGUGAAUGUGGAUUGUGAACAACAUAUUCCUGUUAAUCAGGACCAGGAAAAAAACGAGUUCCUUACAGUGGCACCCAUAGAUCACCACAUCUACAGUGCCAGAACUUGGGCCAGAAUGGAAUAAGUGAAGUCACCUGAACCUCUUACUCUGAAGAAAGACCGGGAAAUUGUGCACAAGGCCUCCAUACUUUCCUGAAAGCAAAGAAACUUGAGUGGCUGAUUGCCAGGUGUACUGUGCCAAGAGUUACUGGGAUCUCCGACACAUUCCAGUGGGAGUAUUAACAGAUAUGUUUUAUCACUACCAAGAGAUCAAGGGCAAAACACACUACAAAGAGCAAGAGUAUUCUUGUCUUUCAAGCCAGCUGGUACUCAGGAUGGUCCAGAAGAGGAUGAGGAGAAGGGAGACCAGCUUUGUAGAUAUGGCUAUUGGAAUAGCAGAAGAAAGCACUUGGGUUUAGGAAUACCUACCACAGACUCCUUAGAAUUCCUCAGCCUAUGAAAAUGCAUGCGCCUUUUUUUGAAAGGGAUGGACUGUCAGCACAUAUAAGGCAUAUGGACAGUCCAAUAGUUCCAAUGUAUGUCCAACAGUCCAAUGUAGUUUUGAUGUGGAGCCAGACCAUUUACAAGUGGGAACCUUUUUUCUUGGUCAAUGUGGUAGGAACCUGUCAGAACAUCAUGGAGAUCUAUGAAGUAACUGCAGAUUAAUGUGACUGAAAAUGAGAGAAUUUGAUCUGCUGUCUGUUGGAGAGGAAAGUUGAAAUAAUGAGACCAGAGUGCAAAGGGACCAAUAGAAAUGGAAGAAGGACUGCCAUUUGGAAGCAGUACAAAUUGAAGUGAAGAAAAUGAUUUCAUCUUUAACAGUCUCCAGGAAGAUUCCUGUGUAAGCAACCCACCUAUGUUUUCAUAUGUUCAUCAAUGAACCUGUAAAAAAAUUGUCUCAGAAAGGAAAAUCCCAAGGCUACCAGGAUCUGCAGGAAAAGAUCAAUGGCUCAAAGUCUGUUGAGUGGACAGUUAGGAAUGGCUUUUCCUAGCACUCUAUACUAGGGUGCUUUUGUUCAACUUCUCCAUCAAUUACCUGCAUGGUAUGUCAUUGUCUCAGCAUCUUCUAGGGUAACACCGCAUGGAAGAGAGGUAUAAUCCGUAUUAGAAGGGAAGAAUACUGCUGUUCAGAAGUGUCUAGAUGAAUUGGAAUUAUGGGCCAGCACAGAACACCUGAAACUCAACAAACAAAAAUGCUGUAUGUUGAAUAGUAAGAACGUAUGCAAUAGCACAGGCUAGAAACUGGCUGGAGAACACCUUUGCUGAAACGUAUCUGGAUGUUCACUUGGACACAAAUGUGAAACUCUUUAAUAGUGGGUCUGGUCAAAUGCUGGAACAGGUUGCCCAGAGAGGCUGCAGAAGAAUCUGUCUUUGGAGAUAUUCAAAACCUGCCUCCAAAAGAUCCUGAACACACGACUACUCUACUACAAAAUAUUCUAGGUGGCCAUGUUUUAAGCUGAACCAGAUGAUGCCCAGAGACCCCAGAAUACACUGUUUUUGCGUCAGCAAGAAACCACUACUGCAAUGAAAACUAGCUGAACUGCAUUUGUGAGAUCUAAGCCAGCAAGUCAAAGGUUCGGACAGUGUUCUGUUUUACUACAUUAGUUCUCACAGAAAUGCAUCUCUACUCACCAGUGAAUUAUCCUGAAUCUAAUAUACGUUUUGGAUCGUAUUUCGUUUAUCUGCAGUAGAGAUGCUGAGGAUACCAUAAGCACUUAUAUAUACAGAAAUGUCUGACAGUAUUUCAAACCAUGGAAGGAUUAGGAAUAAUUCCCAAACGGGUCUGAUUUUCUGUCACAUUGUCAACUCUUCGAAGCAAUGAUGAUUGUAAAUGUUGCACAUCAGAUAUGUGGGAGGCAUCGUGCUCACUGGCCCUCGUCCUGGUGGGGGACUUCAAUCAUCCGGACAUCUGUUGGAAAGACCACAUGGCGAGCUGCAAGAGGUCCAGAAGGCUCGUGGAAUCCGUUGAUGACAACUUUCUGGUCCAGGUAGUGGACAGACCAACCAGAGGUGAAGCGUUGCUGGACCUGCUGCUCACCAAUGCAGAAGAGAUCAUCAAAGAUGUCAAUGUUGAAGGCAGCCUGGGCUGCAGCAACCAUGCCCUGGUUGAGUUCGUGAUCUUGAGGGAUGUGGGCCUGACAAAGGGUGGGGUCAGGACCCUGAACUUUGGAAGAGUGAACUUUAAGCUGUUCAAUGGAUUGUUGGCCAAGAUCCCCUAGGAUGCUGUCCUUAAAGAUAAAGAUGUUGAGGAGAGCUGGCCACUCUUCAAGGAUGCCCUCCUGAAAGCACGAGAGGUCUCCAUCCCUCUGAAUAGGAAAGUGGGCAGACGAGACAGGAAACCGGCAUGGCUCGGCAACGACAUGCUGGGCACACUGAGGGCAAAGAAAGGAAUGAUGACAUCAACUGAACAAAAUAUGAACUGAUUGAGGGCUUGUGACUUUUAAGGAUUUAUUUCAAAGAUCACAGUUACUGAAUGCAUUUUAUUUGACAUCAGAACUGCCUGCAGUUAUAGUAAGUUCAAGGACUUUCCCAUAACCAACCUGAUUUGAACUGUUACUGCUGUUACUGCAUAUCUUUUCCAGGGAAACAGAACAAAUGGAUCACUCAGAGGUGAAUCAUAGAAUCAUCUAGUUUGGAAAAGAUCUUCAAGAUAAUCAGGUCCAAACAUCCACAUAAAGCAUCAAGUCCUGCCUUUUCCUAAAUGCCACAUCCACAUAUCUGUUAAAUACCUCCAGGGCAAAAAAACCUGUAAUUGCAAAAAUCCUAUGAUGCUUCACCAAAUUAACUUCCUUUAAUCCUUAGCUUCCAAAGUGUCAAGCAAUAUGUAGGAAAAUCACAGCAGAAAAGGGGAAACACUGAUGGUUGAUUAAGUCAUCUGUAGAGACUUCACACUCAGAAGUCCCCCAGCUGAGUUAUGCCCCUUCGUCACGGAAUUCACACCCCACCCCCUCCACUGACGCAAACUUCAGAGAGCAGCUCCAUGGAGGAUAACCUAAGUGCUGCCUGCAGAGCUAAGUGUGCUGUCCUUGCUUGUUAUUGUAGCAUUGAUAUACAUAUCUUCCUUUCCUCAUUUGUUAUAUCCUAAUGUCAUUAGGACAAGCCUGCAGCAAUUUUAAACGCUGGCUGCACAGCCUCUUUGACGUCAUUACAGAAAGGUCUCGAGUGCAGACCCUGCAUAUACUGUCUGUGAUAUAGUGUAUAAAAAUCCAUGUCAGUGCUGGCUCUCGGGGAGCACUGGAAAUGAUUCAGCUGUCUGGAAUGGGCAGAUGGCUGCUAUCAAAGUUUUAUUAUCACCAUCAUUAUUAUUACAGUGGUUUGUGACACAUGCUGAACUUUAAGACUGGUGUAAAAGCUUAAGUAUUUGAGCAACACUUUCUGAAAUUCAAAUCCUUCAAAUCCUUUCCAAUCUAACUCCAAAAAGCAGGAGUACGUUUCAAGCUAAUUAGACAUAUUGCUUGGUUUCACUUCCAACUUUCAGAGUAAUUAUCUCAAAAUUCUUGUUCUCUUGUAAACGCAAAUGUUCACUAUUUUUAAUUGCCUUGAUUUAUUGCAGAACUUAAAUUCAGUACAUGCUGAAAGUUCAGCAGGGUGGAAAGAAAAUUUGAGUUUGUUUAAGGGAGCACAUGGAUAGGAUUGUGUACUGUGGCCUCUGUUUAGAAAAGCUCAUCGUUAACCUAUGCUAACAGGAACUGCUUGCUGGAGGCAUCCUCUAAAACUAACCAUACCGAGGAGUACAGAAUUAAUUGAUACAGAUUUCUUCAACUUGCAACAUGAACAGAUUUACUUGGAUGUUGUAAGAGUGACAUUUCGUUUUCAUCUCUGUAGCUGCUACCUCUGCUGCUUUGUGUAUUUGAAUAUUUCAGUUCUCACAGGGUUCUCUUCUGACGCAUCAGUAGACGGCUGAAGGUUUUUCUCGGUCAUCCUGAGACUGGCUCAGACUAUGUUAUGUUGGCUGUCUGUCUGUGCUUUGUACUUGUCUUUCGUACGGCCUCCAUGGCUCACCAGCAUGAGCAUCAUCCUUGUUGGAAUUAUGGUGACCUCUGGCAGACAAGCAAGUAGGAAGUUGGGAGUCAUGAAUUCUGACACUGUUCCAAUGCCAAAUGUGGCACAAUGGGUCGAAGUUACUUUGAGGGUGUCCAUAGCUGCACUGAGGAAACCACAACUAUGCAGGUAUCUGCUUGCAAAAAUAGUAUUAUUUCACGAGGCAUAUUCUCUGCUAUUUGUGAAUGAAUGGGACAAGUAUACUGACAACACAGUUUGACAGAAUGGAUAAACAAAUCUGUAUCCUUCUUUGACCAGGACAUCACAUCCUAAAAAUAUGUAUGACAGAGCUGCAGUUUACACUAUAUUUCUUUCAUCAGUUGGACUUUAUAGCCAAUAGGAAAGAAGCAUAGUGUUGUUCCCUGCCUGGAUUUAUGGCCUUGCCUUCAUUAUUUCUAUAAUUCUUUAUUGCUGCAAGUCCUGGGAAAGCUUAUAUUUCAGCAAGAUAUUCUUGGUAAUGGUCUGACAAAGAUGUAACUGAGUCCUCUAAGAGUGAUGACCAAUCAGAUGAAAGCCUGUCCCGAUGUAUCCUGAGGCAUUUGUUCAGGUCUUGCCCUGGACUGAUGCAGGCAGCCACUUCCUAUGGCCCUGCUAUGGUUGGACAACACGUAUGGAAAUGGUCAGACGUGAACAGGAAGGUGCUUUCCUAAUCUGACACUACUCUGAAAAAGAAUUACAAGAACUACUAUUUCAAUCAAAAAAAUGUUUGACCUUGCUUAUAUGGACUUGGAUCAAAAUGACAGUGUAAAGAACAAUAUAUUCAGUUGCUCAGCAAAGCCCAUAGAAUUCUGCAUACUGCUUGGAAAUGCAACCCCAGUAAAAUCAGGGAAUUAGGAGCUGUGUCGGAAAACAUAUCUGGACUCCAUUUCACAUAUUCUCUGAGGUACUAUUAAAAACUUGGUUAUGUCAUAAAUGUAUUUGUUGAAAUGAUUUAUAUGUCUGAUGGAAAGUGGCACUUCAUCAGGAUUACAAUUUUGUUUUGUGUUUUUUUCUUUUUCCUGAUAUAUUCUAGAUUCACUAAAAUAUUCAUCAAGAGAGAUUCUAUGACUCCAAGGCAGAAUUUAAUGGGACCAGAACUGAGGCGGAUUGUUGAGGAUGCUUGUACAGAGGCCAUAAUGUCUGUAUAAAAUGUUAUAACUUGCAAUCAUAUUCCUGACCUGAUCCAGCAGGAAUGAUAUAAAUACCAGUGUUUUAGCUGGUCUGGGAUAGGCAUUAAUCUACCUCCUGCUUUCACUGAUACAAAGAGGAACAAAGAAAUAUAUAUCUCCAAUAAUUAUACAAGAUAUCCUCCAGCAGUAAUGCCUCCUAUUUUAUGACAUUGGCCAUGGUGUCAGAGGCACAUGUUGGUGGUAUGGCAGUAGAGCUUGAAACUCCCUGCCAAAGUUCCAUUCCAUUCUCUUGCUGUGUGAUGGUUGGCAGCAGAGGGGCAGUCUGACAGAACGUUGUCUGGCAUAGAAGUGAACAUGAAGUAAAGGUGUGUUGCUGAAUUCCUCCAUAUGGAAAAAAUAGCACCCAUUUACAUUCACUGGUGCUUGCUGAAUGUUUCUGGAGACCAAACAGUGAAUGUGAGUACAG
This is a long non-coding RNA of Gallus gallus (chicken), 11490 nucleotides long. RefSeq lists it as uncharacterized. The record is from RefSeq and is a predicted model, not a curated record. The transcript is spliced from 36 exons. Lineage: Eukaryota; Metazoa; Chordata; Aves; Galliformes; Phasianidae.